CUACGGGAGGCAGCAGUGGGGAAUAUUGCACAAUGGGCGCAAGCCUGAUGCAGCAACGCCGCGUGAGGGAUGAGGGCCUUCGGGUUGUAAACCUCUUUUAGCAGGGAAGAAGCGAAAGUGACGGUACCUGCAGAAAAAGCACCGGCUAACUACGUGCCAGCAGCCGCGGUAAUACGUAGGGUGCAAGCGUUGUCCGGAAUUAUUGGGCGUAAAGAGCUCGUAGGCGGUUUGUCACGUCUGCUGUGAAAAUCCAAGGCUCAACCUUGGACUUGCAGUGGGUACGGGCAGGCUAGAGUGCGGUAGGGGAGAUGGGAAUUCCUGGUGUAGCGGUGGAAUGCGCAGAUAUCAGGAGGAACACCAAUGGCGAAGGCACAUCUCUGGGCCGUAACUGACGCUGAGGAGCGAAAGCGUGGGGAGCGAACAGGAUUAGAUACCCCCGUAGUC
Molecule: ribosomal RNA, 444 nt
Filed under: uncultured bacterium
Lineage: Bacteria
Description: partial 16S ribosomal RNA
Rfam family: Bacterial small subunit ribosomal RNA
Source: RNAcentral